Oryza sativa Japonica Group (Japanese rice) is the source of this 2698-nucleotide non-coding RNA. The record is from RefSeq and is a predicted model, not a curated record. NCBI's taxonomy places the organism in Eukaryota, Viridiplantae, Streptophyta, Magnoliopsida, Poales, Poaceae.
CUUUGACAUGGUUGAAGAGCUAGAAGAUAUGAGACUGUUUGAGUUUGACCAGUCGUUUCUCCACCUGGAGUUGCUGACACGGCAGUCGACCGGGAGGAAGAAGGAUCCAUCGGCUUCGCGUCGCCUGACCUCCACGUCGCGGCGAGCAAAAAGCUAGCCGACCUGCCCUGGCUGUCAACAUCCACAAGAUAAUUGAGCCGCUUGGAUUUGGAUGCUGUGUUGGAAAGACAAUUCAUGAGAAGAAAGUUCUAGAAUUAAUGACAGUGAUGGUUUCCGAGACCAUGGCUGAGACACGUGGCGCCGGCCGGAGGCGAUCUUGAGGACGACGAUGCCGAAACCGUAGACGUCAAAGUGCACACCUGCCGGACACCACCCGGCGUCGGCAGCAACUGGAGCACCGCCGUAACGGGGGUGGUCCGGCCGCGGGCCCCUUCGCGAAUCCGCCACCCUCGGUUCUUGGGGAUCAUCUUCAAUUACGCGCGCGGCGGGAUCUUGUCCCGCCCCGGCAUUUCGUCGAACAACUUGCGUGCGAGGCGAGAGGAGACUGAUGCCGAGCAGAUUGCUCCGUAGGUGGACGGGGAGGCAAGCUUCGGGCCUCUGGACGCGCGUGGAAGCAGCGGAGAGGGGAACAUACGUAGUCGGGCGCCGGGCAGGACGCGGAGCUCCGGCGACUUAGAGUGGAGCACGGCGCCGUCUGGUCAGCGGCGCAGCGGUCAGGCGAUCCACUCCUGACCAAACUCCAGCCCAAUUCAGGAACAAACUCCAGCGGGCCCAUAUGGCAUUUGGGGCUAAGUCUACUUUGCCUCACUCAACUCAUGCCCGUGAAUGAAUCACAUCCCUUAGACCGCAAAAUCGGGUAUAACGUGUCCCCCUACUCCCAAAACCGUUGCAAAUUGACUCUCUAGGGGGUUUCGUAGGAGGUUUUAUUCUACGUGGCAUCUUUGACCCCGUUGAUUAGCUUAGUCAGCUCGUGGCUGACGGUGGGCCCUACCUUUUUUUUUAUUUUUUAUCUUUAUCAUUGACAUGUGGGCCCCACAAGCUAGCUCAGCUAGUCAAUGGGGUCAAAGAUGCAACGCGGGACAAAACCGUCUCUGAAACCAUUUGGAGAGUUAAUUUGCAAUGGUUUUAGGAGUUGGGGAUGUGUUAUACACGAUUUUGCGGUUGUGGGAUUCAAUACGAUCAGGGAAAUGAGUUGAGUGAGUAAAUAGACUUAUUCCAUAAAGAGAUGACAAUUUGAUGAAAAAUUCGGCCUAUUAAAUCUUGGCCCAUAUAAGUCUAGGCGUCGGACAGACGGCCCGGCCCCGGCGUAUGGUAGCGAUCUAGAUGGCCCACCAUAAGAGAGCACUAUAACGAAACUGGCCCACCAACUUUUGGCCCGCUCGACUCAUUGCUCCCUUACAGAUAGCUGGGCCCAAUUUAGGCCUACAAAAAAUUGGAUCGCAACCUUUGCGAUCCAAUACGACCCGCUCAAAUUUGGAAUUCGGGCUUCGGAUGUGAGACAUUGUGACACAAAUCGGCUCGUCGUGCAGCCGUCGCCGCCGGCGACCCGUCCCCCGUCUCCGCCGCAUACGGAGGAUGCUCGGGAACACCAUCCGCUUCCUCGCGGGGACGGCGAGGGCGAUGGGGGAGGCGGCGGCCAGUGGUGUGGGCGGAGUCACCGGCUGCUCCGACGAAGGCUCGCUCCAACUCCGUCCAGUGCGGAAAAAGUGCGUCACCAAGGAAAAGAAAUGAAUGCAUGUUGACUAAGUGAAGAGGCUAAUCAUCUGCUUUGCUAAAUGUGAAAGAUGAAGCAGUUGCGUCAACUUGGUUUAUAACAAAGCGGUUGAAACACAAUUUUCAGACUGAGAUAGGCUGUCUUGCAUGUUCCUUUAGAGGAGGAAAAUAUGCAUGAUCCAUUUGAAGGCUCAAAAAGGGACAACUCCACAUCGUCGACUAAAUCUGUUUCCAUUCUGAUCAGCUAGCGCUAGAAGAUCUGGAAAUGGAGGAACAAAUGGAUUUUUUCCACGAUGAAUCAUCAAUACAUGCAGCAGGUGAUGAUCAACAAAAUGUCAAAAGAGGUGUGGUUAUGGAGUGUGUCAGGAGCUCAAGGAGUGCCGACCGGUGAGUCUGAUCUCGACAUGGGUAUGGAGGUGUGGUUAUGGAGUUUAGAUCCCCUGGCAAAAUUUUUCACCCUGUCAUAUCGAAUGUUUGGACAUAUGUAUAGAGUAUUAAAUAUAAACGAAAAAAACAACUAAUUACACAGAUUGCAUAUAAAUUACGAGGUGCCAUCCUCAUCUCCACUCAUACAACGGUGCCAUGGACAUGAGACCACAAGAAGAUCCGUCAUCACCACCGCCAUUGACAACGAUGAGAGAAGACCAGAGGGCAGUAGCGCUAGGGUUUUAGAAUUAGGUGGCGGCGCUAAGCUUUUAGUCUUUUCGGUGUGAGCUCGGAUCACGAUUUUCAAGUUGCAAUCUCUACCGGUAAUAUUCUACUGUCAGGAAUACUAAAUGAUCUUUGUUAUAAAUCCUUACCGAUCUUUUUACGGUGAUCUCUACUUCUACAAAGCCAAAGGACGUUUAUUUUUUGUAAAUAUUUGCUACUUCCAGCUUUAAAAACAAAGCUAACAGCUGCUGGAUAUCUUUCACAAAAGAAAAAGGAGAACAUCAAUAAAGGAUGUUUGUUUCACCCUUCAUCAGUUGAUUCCAAGGCAAGUACA